GGGGGCGUAAAGGUUUCGACGGGGAUUUUGAACGACAGUAAGCGAGUAAAGCCGGGCAAUCUUUUCAAAGGCCCAAACUUAAAUUUAAACGCUAAUUUUAACGAAUCAGCUAUAGCUGCCUAAGUGCGGCUCGUCCUGCGCGUGAGUACCACGGCUCGCGUUUGGGCGUCAAACAGUGGUGAACGUGCAUCGUCCUUUUGCUUUUGAGACGGUCAUGAACUAAAAAGCUACUUGGGUGUGAAGAUUGCUUUUCAUCGUCGCACCCGGGGAACGUAAAUGAAAAGAUACACUCGUAGAAAACUAUCGGAAUAGAUUUUCGGACAGGAGUUCGACUCUCCUCGCCUCCACCA
RNAcentral lists this small RNA (350 nucleotides) under bovine gut metagenome. RNAcentral's name for it is "transfer-messenger RNA". It matches the Rfam family "transfer-messenger RNA". Rfam says of the family: Bacterial tmRNA, also known as 10Sa RNA or SsrA, is named for its dual tRNA and mRNA-like properties. The record is from RNAcentral.